This 468-nucleotide ribosomal RNA is filed under the name uncultured bacterium. Its description in RNAcentral is "partial 16S ribosomal RNA". It matches the Rfam family "Bacterial small subunit ribosomal RNA", at positions 28 to 507 of the family's 1533-position model. The record is from RNAcentral.
GACGAACGCUGGCGGCGUGCUUAACACAUGCAAGUCGAACGGAAAGGCCCUGCUUUUGUGGGGUGCUCGAGUGGCGAACGGGUGAGUAACACGUGAGUAACCUGCCCUUGACUUUGGGAUAACUUCAGGAAACUGGGGCUAAUACCGGAUAGGAGCUCCUGCUGCAUGGUGGGGGUUGGAAAGUUUCGGCGGUUGGGGAUGGACUCGCGGCUUAUCAGCUUGUUGGUGGGGUAGUGGCUGACCAAGGCUUUGAGGGGUAGCCGGGCUGAGAGGGUGACCGGCCACAUUGGGACUGAGAUACGGCCCAGACUCCUACGGGAGGCAGCAGUGGGGAAUAUUGCACAAUGGGCGGAAGCCUGAUGCAGCAACGCCGCGUGGGGGAUGACGGCCUUCGGGUUGUAAACCGCUUUCGCCUGUGACGAAGCGUGAGUGACGGUAAUGGGUAAAGAAGCACCGGCUAACUACGUG